Mastomys coucha (southern multimammate mouse) is the source of this 183-nucleotide long non-coding RNA. RefSeq lists it as uncharacterized. The transcript has 3 exons. The record is from RefSeq and is a predicted model, not a curated record. Lineage: Eukaryota; Metazoa; Chordata; Mammalia; Rodentia; Muridae.
UACUUCCUCACAUGGUAGACAUGGACUAAACCUGUGAACCUACUCUCUAGAUAUCCUUGCCUGGAGUUGCUGCUAUAUUAAGGAUAUGAGCUGAAAUGGAUUCGAGCCUGGCAUGCAGAUGCCAUCACUUGAGGAAGUGUGAUUAAAUUUAUGUUUGACUGUGAGAACCAAACAAGCCAGCUU